UGGGGAAUAUUGCACAAUGGGCGCAAGCCUGAUGCAGCCAUGCCGCGUGUAUGAAGAAGGCCUUCGGGUUGUAAAGUACUUUCAGCGGGGAGGAAGGGAGUAAAGUUAAUACCUUUACUCAUUGACGUUACCCGCAGAAGAAGCACCGGCUAACUCCGUGCCAGCAGCCGCGGUAAUACGGAGGGUGCAAGCGUUAAUCGGAAUUACUGGGCGUAAAGCGCACGCAGGCGGUUUGUUAAGUCAGAUGUGAAAUCCUCGGGCUCAACCUGGGAACUGCAUCUGAUACUGGCAAGCUUGAGUCUCGUAGAGGGGGGUAGAAUUCCAGGUGUAGCGGUGAAAUGCGUAGAGAUCUGGAGGAAUACCGGUGGCGAAGGCGGCCCCCUGGACAAAGACUGACGCUCAGGUGCGAAAGCGUGGGGAGCAAACAGG
Molecule: ribosomal RNA, 429 nt
Filed under: Chloroflexota bacterium
Lineage: Bacteria; Bacillati; Chloroflexota
Description: Chloroflexi bacterium partial 16S ribosomal RNA
Rfam family: Bacterial small subunit ribosomal RNA
Source: RNAcentral